Molecule: ribosomal RNA, 466 nt
Filed under: uncultured bacterium
Lineage: Bacteria
Description: bacterial SSU rRNA
Rfam family: Bacterial small subunit ribosomal RNA
Source: RNAcentral
GGCCAGACUCCUACGGGAGGCAGCAGUGAGGAAUAUUGGUCAAUGGGCGCGAGCCUGAACCAGCCAAGUAGCGUGAAGGAUGACUGCCCUACGGGUUGUAAACUUCUUUUAUAAAGGAAUAAAGUGAGGCACGUGUGCCUUUUUGUAUGUACUUUAUGAAUAAGGAUCGGCUAACUCCGUGCCAGCAGCCGCGGUAAUACGGAGGAUCCGAGCGUUAUCCGGAUUUAUUGGGUUUAAAGGGAGCGUAGAUGGGUUGUUAAGUCAGUUGUGAAAGUUUGCGGCUCAACCGUAAAAUUGCAAUUGGUACUGGCAGCCUUGAGUACAGUUGAGGUAGGCGGAAUUCGUGGUGUAGCGGUGAAAUGCUUAGAUAUCACGAAGAACUCCGAUUGCGAAGGCAGCUUACCAGUCUGCGACUGACGCUCAGGCACGAAAGUGUGGGUAUCGAACAGGAUUAGAUACCCUCGUA